UGGGGAAUAUUGGACAAUGGGGGAAACCCUGAUCCAGCAAUGCCGCGUGAAUGAUGAAGGCCUUCGGGUUGUAAAGUUCUUUUCUCAGAGAAGAUGAUGACGGUAUCUGAGGAAUAAGCACCGGCAAACUUCGUGCCAGCAGCCGCGGUAAUACGAAGGGUGCUAGCGUUGUUCGGAAUUACUGGGCGUAAAGGGCGCGUAGGCGGAUAUGUAAGUUAGGUGUGAAAUCCCUCGGCUCAACCGAGGAACUGCACUUAAUACUGCACAUCUAGAGUGCGAAAGGGAGAGACGGAAUGGCGAGUGAAGCAGUGAAAUGCGUUGAUAUUCGUUGGAACACCGGUGGCGAAGGCGGUCUCUUGGUUCGUAACUGACGCUAAUGCGCGAAAGCGUGGGGAGCAAACAGGAUUAGAUACCCCCGUAGUCC
RNAcentral lists this ribosomal RNA (424 nucleotides) under uncultured bacterium. RNAcentral describes it as "bacterial SSU rRNA". It matches the Rfam family "Bacterial small subunit ribosomal RNA", at positions 355 to 796 of the family's 1533-position model. The record is from RNAcentral.